UCUUUUCAUUCAGUAUUCUAUUUUAUACCUAUGAAGCAUAAACACACUCCCGGCCUCCCUUCUCCCCAGACCAGGGGAGGCUCUUAAUGCCUCCCGCCGCCGCACUCCCUCCCCGUCGGAAGCUUUCAUCCUGCUGAUAGGUAAAUCCUGUGUGAAGAACAAGUGAGUGCGUUAAGGGCACUCGCUGCCAAGAGCCGGUCAACAACUUUUUUCAAUGACAUCAUUUAUUUGAUAUCUAUGUUGAGACUGGACGUGAAUUACUCAUAAAAGCAAUCCGUGGUUCUCUGGGCUGAGUCAUUCUCGUGCUACAGGAUAGACAGGUGUAAUGGUGUGUUGUGCUGUUGUUGUUGUUGUAGUUGUUGUUGUUGUUGGUGGUGGUGGUGGUGCAGCACAGGGGAGGCUUCCAGCAGGCGGCUAAAGACCCAAGGAAUGCCCGCCGCUGUCAAGUUCUCUGAUCUCACCUACUGCUGCUUGCACUCCAUGACAUACUCCCACGAGUCCACAAAAAUUAUUUAAUUAUCGCUGUGAGAAUGAAUGUGCACAUUCGAAUCAGCAGCAGUUUUUCUUAUUGAACUUUUGGUGUUGCAUGAACACAGGAAGGGAAAUCAUGUGUUCACAUGUAUCUUCUUUACCGUAGCGCGAGUCUAGUGGAUACAGUGACAGUCUUGGGAACCCAGGGUGUGGAGGGAAGCCCAUACAAAAUAUAAUAAAUAAAUAAUGUGAUAAAACAAUAAUUCACAUAAGAUGGGGAAAUAGACCAACUUUAAAAAAAAGAAAAAGGGCCCCCGUGGCUCAGUGGGUAGAGUGAUGCACUUGGAGUUUGGCGUGAGGGAAGUGAGGGGCGCGUAGGUUCGAACCCCCCUCUCGGAACUUACAAAAACCUUCAAAGAGCUUCCCUCCAUCACCAUGUGUGAUGGAGCUGCCCACGGGGAGGAGGGGAGGUGAGUGCACAGCACCUCCCUACCCUCCCCAGGGGUGGAAGGCACCGCCUUACCACCCCCGGGAGAGCAAGGGAGGUGAGUGCACAGCGCUUCCCUUCUCUCCCCUACCUAACCCUGGCAAGUCUACGGACUACCAGGCAAAAAAUAAUAAAAAUAAAAAAAAAUCAAUAAAGGUGAGUGCGUAGCACUUCCCUUCUCUCCACCUACCGGGCAAAAGAUAAUAAAUAAAUAAAAGGUGAGUGCAUAGCACUUCCCUUCUCUCUACCUACAGGCCAAAAGAAAAUAAAUAAAUAAAGGUGAGUGCGUAGCACUUCCCUUCUCUCCCCACCCAAACUAUCAAAAUUAAUUUCUCUGGCAAGAAAGAUUAAAAAAACCUGACCCUGGCACCACCAACCUGACUGACUCUGAAUCUGACUCUGACAACCAACCAACCACCUCCCCUGGGGAGCAUGGGAGGUGAGUGUGCAGCACCUCCCUACCCUCCCCAGUCUCCUAGUUUGACUUUCACCACCAAACUCAUCCUACCUUUCUGACUCAUCCUGGCACCUUCCUACUCUCCCCAUCCUGGCAACUCAAAAAAAAAAAAAAAAAAAAAAACUGACUGACCCUGGGAAGCAUGGGAGGUGAGUGUGCAGCACCUCCCUACCCUUCCCAGUCUCCCAGUUUGACUUUGACUCAUCCUAGCAACUCCAAAGAGCAACUCCAAAUGUACAGACCACCAGUAUCUCCUACUCUCCCCACCAUGACUGACAACUGAUCCUGGCAAGGUGAGUGCGUAGCACUUCCCUACCUGACUGACCCUGGCAGCACCCCCCCCACCCCAAUCUGGCUCUGAUCAUUACUUACAAAUGUGUAAUCUGACAACAGUCCACCAAACUGACUGGGGAGCAUGGGAGGUGAGUGUGCAGCACCUCCCUACACUUCCCAGUCUCUGACUCAUCCUGGCAACUCCAAAGAGCAACUCCAAAUGUAUAGACCCUGAUUACAGACCUGACUGACCCUGAUCCUUUCCCUAUCCUACCCUGGUAUCUCCAACAACUUACUAAUAUGUAAUCUGACAACAGGCCACCAAACUGACUGACCCUGGGAAGCAUGGGAGGUGAGUGUGCAGCACCUUCCUACCCUUCCCAGUCUCCCAGUUUGACGAUGACCACCAUCCUGACUCAUCCUGUCAACUCCAAAAACCACCAACUAUACAGACCACCAUCCU
Long non-coding RNA from Scylla paramamosain (green mud crab), 2151 nucleotides. RefSeq lists it as uncharacterized. NCBI's taxonomy places the organism in Eukaryota, Metazoa, Arthropoda, Malacostraca, Decapoda, Portunidae. The record is from RefSeq and is a predicted model, not a curated record. The transcript is spliced from 2 exons.